AGGUUUGGCCAUCUUGGCAUUGACCAAAGAAAGAACAGAAAUAAAGCUUGGGGCAUCCCCACUUUAGGAUGUGUGUUGGGAUGGACACCUUUGGUAACUGCAUGACUUACUAAAUGAUUUCAUUUUGCUCAAGGUGGAACUGUCCAUGAGCUUGGUCAUGGGACCUGCCUUCCUGAUUUUUAGCUGAGGAUGCUGAGUGAACUUGUCCUGCCAGCUUCGUCAACCUGCUCUUCCCAAUGGCUUCUGCCUGGUUGUACUGUGGCUUGACCAGCUGGAACUGCAGGGACUGUGUACAUCUUCACUGAAAAGACUGAACUGCAUUGUAUUGACCAAAUGAAUCCAUGCUUUACAGCAUUUUGAGCAGAUUUUGUGUAGGCAUAGGAGACAUUUUCAUCUCAGCAAAAAUCUGUUUUAGACCAACGCUGUCUGACAAAGGUGUUCUUUGAAAUCAAAAUGAAGUUUUCACAUAAACACUAUUUUGGUAACUGGGCCUUACAAUGCAUCUUCCUUUUGAAAGGGUGAAUAAAAUGGAUCCACACUUUUAUAUUCCCAACAACAUAUCUUUGAACUUAUCAAAAAUAUUCAUUAUAUGUUUAUCCAUAAAUACAGUAUACAACCAAAGGGACAUCACACAUCCUUGUCCUAUUCCCUGCUCAAUAUGGAACCAUUCAGUAAGCAUUCCAUUUAUUCUCACAUAUUCUUUACUUAUGUACAUCAUAUACCACAUUUAUGCUAUUUAGCAAACAACUUUUAACACUACAUUUUACAACAUAUUCCAUAAUUCAAGCCUAUAUACUUUAUGAUAUGCUUUCUCUGUAUUACCAGAUCUACAGUAAACGUUCUCACAUUCAUAAAUUUGCCAAAUUUUGGUCUGCACAUCCCCUACCUCACACCAAAGCACACUGCAUUUGCCACAUUUUGCUCAUUCUCACCACUAAAAUUCUCCCAAACACCCAUAACAACCUAGAUGACUCCAAUUCAUACCUUCUGAUUUUAGCCCUUUUAUGCAGAAUUACACCUAAACCUUCAUUUCCUGUCAUACAUUCAUCAACUCCAUUCUGUAGUAUUAGACUAUAUCCAUAUUUCAAACUUACUGCAUCCUGUUGUGUUUGCAUACAAAACAAGUGAGUAAAUUGGUAUAUUACUGGACACAAUAAUGCUUCAUUAAAGCAUGUUUUUGAAAUAACCAAAAGAUGUUAAUUUCUGGGAAGAAGCAUUAUUAUUAAGCCACAGGAUUGUCUUUCCCCAGUGGUGUCCAGUCCUGUUAGAUCUGGCAGGAGAGGCAUGCUCUGGGUCCUGUCCGCAAGAGAGUGCCAUCUGGCGGGCCCAGGAAGAGAGCCUUUUCUGCCAUGGCACCUGCCCUCUGGAACAUCAUUCCCCCAGAGAUUAGACAUGGCCAAACCCUGCUGACCUUUUGCAAAGCAUUGAAACCUGGUUUUGUUAUCAAGCCUGGGGCCCUGAUAGUAUGAGUGAGCCUGUUUCUUGGUCAUGGUUGUGUUAAGCAGGUGUUCUUGGCUGCUAUGUUAUUUUAUGUUAUUUCUGUUGUUUUUAAAUUUGGUUGUUUUUAUUCUGUUUUUAUUGUUUGCCAUCCAAAGUCAUGCAUAUGAGAUGGCAGCCAUAUACAUUUAUUAAAUAAACAAUUAAUUAAUUAA
Long non-coding RNA from Candoia aspera, 1652 nucleotides. RefSeq lists it as uncharacterized. Lineage: Eukaryota; Metazoa; Chordata; Lepidosauria; Squamata; Candoiidae. The record is from RefSeq and is a predicted model, not a curated record. The transcript has 3 exons.